Molecule: ribosomal RNA, 465 nt
Filed under: Vreelandella stevensii
Lineage: Bacteria; Pseudomonadati; Pseudomonadota; Gammaproteobacteria; Oceanospirillales; Halomonadaceae
Description: partial 16S ribosomal RNA
Rfam family: Bacterial small subunit ribosomal RNA
Source: RNAcentral
CCUCGUGAUUGAGGAAGGGGGGAAGAGGGGAAAAUGGGCGAAAGCCGGAUCCAGCCAUGCCGCGUGUGUGAAGAAGGCCUUCGGGUUGUAAAGCACUUUCAGUGGGGAAGAAAGCCUUGGGGCUAAUACCCUCGAGGAAGGACAUCACCCACAGAAGAAGCACCGGCUAACUCCGUGCCAGCAGCCGCGGUAAUACGGAGGGUGCGAGCGUUAAUCGGAAUUACUGGGCGUAAAGCGCGCGUAGGCGGUCUGAUAAGCCGGUUGUGAAAGCCCCGGGCUCAACCUGGGAACGGCAUCCGGAACUGUCAGGCUAGAGUGCAGGAGAGGAAGGUAGAAUUCCCGGUGUAGCGGUGAAAUGCGUAGAGAUCGGGAGGAAUACCAGUGGCGAAGGCGGCCUUCUGGACUGACACUGACGCUGAGGUGCGAAAGCGUGGGUAGCAAACAGGAUUAGAUACCCGUGUAGUC